AGAGUUUGAUCCUGGCUCAGAUUGAACGCUAGCGGGAUGCUUUACACAUGCAAGUCGAACGGCAGCGCGAGAGAGCUUGCUCUCUUGGCGGCGAGUGGCGGACGGGUGAGUAAUAUAUCGGAACGUGCCCAGUAGCGGGGGAUAACUACUCGAAAGAGUGGCUAAUACCGCAUACGCCCUACGGGGGAAAGGGGGGGAUCGCAAGACCUCUCACUAUUGGAGCGGCCGAUAUCGGAUUAGCUAGUUGGUGGGGUAAAGGCUCACCAAGGCAACGAUCCGUAGCUGGUUUGAGAGGACGACCAGCCACACUGGGACUGAGACACGGCCCAGACUCCUACGGGAGGCAGCAGUGGGGAAUUUUGGACAAUGGGGGAAACCCUGAUCCAGCCAUCCCGCGUGUAUGAUGAAGGCCUUCGGGUUGUAAAGUACUUUUGGCAGAGAAGAAAAGGUACCUCCUAAUACGAGGUACUGCUGACGGUAUCUGCA
Molecule: ribosomal RNA, 486 nt
Filed under: uncultured Alcaligenes sp.
Lineage: Bacteria; Pseudomonadati; Pseudomonadota; Betaproteobacteria; Burkholderiales; Alcaligenaceae
Description: bacterial SSU rRNA
Rfam family: Bacterial small subunit ribosomal RNA
Source: RNAcentral